This is a long non-coding RNA of Paramisgurnus dabryanus, 2045 nucleotides long. RefSeq lists it as uncharacterized. Lineage: Eukaryota; Metazoa; Chordata; Actinopteri; Cypriniformes; Cobitidae. The record is from RefSeq and is a predicted model, not a curated record.
UAGAACAGUCAAGAGACUCAACAAUAUAAAUAUUAUAUUAAUAUUAUGAAAUAGUGGUUUGUCUAAAUUUAAACACAAUGUGUAGUCAUGUGGAAAGCCUAUACACUGUUAUAUAUCUGUAAAUGGAAUAUUUUGUCUAUAUUAAUAGAUCCUGAUUCUGUUUUUUUAAACAAAUGUAAGCAGCUAAUCCAUCACCAAACCUAACUAUAGAGUAUCAUUUUUGUUUAUUUUUAGCUUAUUUUAUUUUAAGUUGAGAGAGACGUAAACAUUGGUAAGGUGACAAUAUACUUUAGCCAUUCAUGCAUUUAGACCCUAUCAAAACCUUUAAUAUAGUGACCUAAUAAGCAAACCUAAUAAUUUAAAGGGGACAUAUUAUGAAAAUCUGACUUUUUCCAUGUUUAAUUGCUAUAGUUGUGUCCCCAGUGCUUCUGUCAACCUAGAAAAUGUGAAAAAGAUCAACCCAGUAACUUAGUUUUGGUAAACCAUUCUUUCCAAGCAUGUGAAAAAAUAGGUCAUUGUAAUUUGGCUCCUAUUGUGAUGUUAGAAUAAGGUAAUACCGCCCCCUUUAUCUGCACUAUCCAACCACAGCACUGCCAUUUAGUUCAAAGAGAAAGAGAAAGAAAAGAAGGACUUGACAGCACAAUUGAGUUUCAAUUACAAGAAACCACCAUCAUUGUGAUCAGUGUUUGCACUUCAGCCGCUCAUUUGCAUUUUAAAUGACACACCCAAAACGGCACACUUUGCUCAGACCUACAUUUUGAUCUAGUUUACAUCUUAAAAAAAAUCUCAUAAUAUGUCCCCUUUAAGUCAUUUAAAGAGCACCUAUUAUGGGAUACACGUUUUUAAACAUCCUUUUGUGUGUAAGUGUGCAUUAGUACAUGCUAACGAUAUUCAAAAAGUACAUACCUCAAAGAAAACGAUGACGCGAGUUAUCGUCUCUAACGUUCGAGGACUACAAAAAACACUCGGAUUGUAGGCAACAGUUUACUUCCUGGGAUUAGUGACGUAGAUAAGACCAACAUUAUCAUAGUUCAGCCCUCUCUGCUUUGCUUGGGUACGCCCUCAAAGACGGGGGUGGGGAGCGCCGAGUCAGAAGAGAGCUAAAAUGGCGGAGGUUGUGAGUCCCUGCUUUGACUCUGUUUGCAAACUCUUGUUUCAUUGUUUAAGCGAUUAAAUCUCUCGAGUAGACGCUGUCUCUUUAGAUGCGAGGGCAAAAUAGCACUUUAUGGACUUCCACAGAGGACAUCAUGUUUAAUACGGUUCCGGAAAAAUCCAGUCAGAAGUUGUUCACGGAGUUUUCACAAUAACUGCUUCUCAUGAACCGAAGCUGGAUUUGCGCGACGUCUCCUCUUGAAAGUUGGAUUACUGUGCACUUCUGGAUCACAGACUAUUCGCAGCUGUACACAUCCUUAUACACUGUAUGCAAACAUGCAACAUCAUUACACACAGUACAAGGAGUCAGACUGGCAUAUGAGGAGCAAAGGAACCCAGGCAGUAGCAUCGUUUCACAAUGUUUCCAUCAUCAUCAUCAGUGGAUGCCUUUGCCGUCCGUAGCCUGAGAUUUCAGAUUUGCAGCAAAAAAAAUUGAUUUUCUCAUUUAUUGGAAUGCUGUGCAGGUAUUUGUACCUUGCAGCCAUCCAUUACAAUGUCACCAAGCCGUAACAAAAGCAGGAGAGGAAAAGUACAAGGCUAUGUUCCCAAAACACACAAGUGACAUACCUUAUGUGGAGGAUGUGAUCAGGCUUGUGUUUGAUGAGGUAUUUGAAGAUAAGCUGAAGGAAACCCCGAUUCCAAUGGACCUGGCAUCACAGUUUGAGAGACCUUCAAAGGAGGACGUGAUUGCAUGCCAUCUUCAGUGCAGGGGUCGUCGAAAGCCAAAAUUGUGACCGAUCUGAUCAGGAAGCUCCAAGCGUAUCUGGAGAACAACACACGACAGGAUGAUAACCUUAUAGUGUCGUCUUAAAUAGCACCAGCUGACAAAGCUUUGAUAUGCCAUUUAUCUGAAUAGAUAGCUGUAAGAAAUGAAUUGAACAAUUUUUGAAACA